Non-coding RNA from Epinephelus lanceolatus (giant grouper), 296 nucleotides. NCBI's taxonomy places the organism in Eukaryota, Metazoa, Chordata, Actinopteri, Perciformes, Serranidae. The record is from RefSeq and is a predicted model, not a curated record.
GUCAAACCCUGCUGCUCUGCCCUGAAACACUGCAGUACUGUGCGUUUUCGUUUUUUGGAAGGUUACCAAAGUACUCAUGAACCAUGAGACCUUUUCAAGUGGACCCAGCCGCUGAUCAAUGAACCAUGCCCAGUGGUCGGUCGUCUUCUCUGGAGCUUUGUUGUAAUUUGCUCCGUACAGUAAAGCGAUCCAUCGUCCCGCUCACGGCUUUCCACUUUUAACUGUUACCAUCCCUCACACUGGCUGCCAAUCAGAGCCUUUGAUGUGUCACACACUUAAAAUUCCCACACGUGAAU